RNAcentral lists this ribosomal RNA (775 nucleotides) under uncultured Neocallimastigales. RNAcentral's name for it is "partial large subunit ribosomal RNA". It matches the Rfam family "Eukaryotic large subunit ribosomal RNA", at positions 22 to 629 of the family's 3401-position model. The record is from RNAcentral. Lineage: Eukaryota; Fungi; Neocallimastigomycota; Neocallimastigomycetes; Neocallimastigales.
GUACACGCUGUGACUAGCAUAUCAAUAAGCGGAGGAAAAGAAACUAACAAGGAUUCCCCUAGUAACGGCGAGUGAAGCGGGAAGAGCUCAAAUUUGAAAUCUUAAAGGGUUUCCCUUUACGAAUUGUAGUUUAAAGAAGUGUUUUCUGUUGAGGUUUUGGUAAAAGUUCUUUGGAAUAGGACAUCAUAGAGGGUGAGAAUCCCGUAUUUGACCUUUACUUUCAACUUUGUGAUACACUUUCAAAGAGUCGGAUUGUUUGGGAAUGCAGUCCAAAAUGGGUGGUAAAUUUCAUCUAAAGCUAAAUAUUGGCGAGAGACCGAUAGCGAACAAGUACCGUGAGGGAAAGAUGAAAAGAACUUUGAAAAGAGAGUUAAACAGUACGUGAAAUUGUCAAAAGGGAAGCGUUUGACACCAGUGUUGUUUUUCUGAAAAUCAAUUAAAGAACUGUUUAUGCUAAGUUGUUUAGACUUUAUCAGCUAAUCUGUUUAGUUUUGAGCUUUUCUUUAAUGCACUUUUCAGUUAACAAGUCAACAUCAAUUUCUUUUGCUGUAAAAAAGCUUGAGGAAGGUGGCUUGAGAUUCGUCUUAAGUGUUUAUAGCCUCUUGCCUAUGCAGUCGGAGAGAUUGAGGUCUGCAGCGUAGAUCCUUCGGGGCUAAAUGCAUUUGUGCUAAGUUAUAGCAUUUUAUAGACAACUUGUUGACUAUGAUUUGUCUUGUAGCUUACUCGCUUAUGUUAUUUUACCUACGCUUAGGAUGUUGACAGCAGUAUAGACUGU